GGACUAUCAUCCUGGACUAGAUACAAGAUAGUUUGAUAUACAUGAAAAUAUAGACUGAAUACCAUGGGACUACCAUCCCGGACUAGAUAUAAGAUAGUUUGAUAAAAUCAUGGGAUUACUAUCCCGAACUAGAUAUAGAUUCUAACCGUAGGAAUAACAUCCUGCAAUUGAUAUGAAUCCUAUAGACUAAAAACCAUGGGAUUUCCAUCCCGUACUAGAUAUAAGAUCUAAAGAUAGAAGAUUGAUAUAAAAUCAAAUCCAAAACCAAGUCGUGAAUAAACUUAUAUUAAUACGUAUUGUGAAUCGGGUAACCAUGCUGAUACGACAACGAGACCUCCUUGACAUUUGUCAGACGUCGGACGAUAUCCAGAAUUUGUCAUCCUAGGCGUGCCCGCCUAACUGUAGCUAGCAGUUAAGGUGUGGGAUUGUCAGUCCCGAAUAGAUCUAUUCACAAAUUCCUCACUCUCCCUCCAGGAGACUCUGGUUACACUUCCGGAGAGGAUUUACUUAUCAUCCAUAAAGGGUAGUGACGAACUCACAAGCUAGUACUAAACCAUUCACAGGGUUCUCAUACGAUAUCAAACAUAUAAAAGAUUAUGAAACAUAAUACAUUGAAUACAGAUACAUACAAUGAAACUAUCUGGCAAUACAUUCAAAUGAUGCAGAGAUAAACUGAAUCAGACAUAGUUUAUCUAAUAACUUUAUACACAUAUCAGUACAUGAUAAAACGAAAACUAAAGAAUCCCAAAUUAUUCCCAUAAUAAUUUGAUUAGUUUGAUUAUUUCCUUAACUAAAAUUCAUUUAGUUGUAGUUGAUAAAUCUUCCCUUAUGCUCAGCAUAAUACAUAAUGGGUAAAAGUAUUUAUAAGUUUGCCAGAUAUUAUUUNCCCCCCUGAAAACAUUGAAAAACUAUUUAAAAAGGGUAAUGGUAUGAACUCACCGGACGAGAAAUGUGACGAUUUCGGAUGUUAAACAUUGGUUCGGGAUUUGCAAACGCACGAGGUUCCUAUGUAUAAUGAAAAGAUACACAUUUGUAUCUAAUUAGGACUUAGAUUAUUUAUUUGUUAUGGACAAACACUUUUAGACCCGGGUGGCGUUUAAGGACUUGAAUGACCGGGAAACAGAGUUUGCUCUUCAAGAGUAAAUUCAUAAAAGACUUUUCGGCCUAUAACACCCAUUCCCCAUGAGUUUACGGCCGUAAACUUGUGGUGGGGUGGUUUAUGGUCCAAAAUGGCUUGAAACAAAUAAGAGGGAAUUUCUAGGGUUUGAUUUAAGGCUUGGAAUUAAUUAAAUUCAUCAAAUAACACCACUUAAUGGAGUUUACGGCCCUAGCAUGGAGCUUACGGCCGUAAACUCCUAUACCCCCCUUGAAUGAGUGAUUUAAUGUCCCAAAACUAAUCACAUGUGAUUCCAAUAAUUUUUCCUAGCCUUGUAUGGAUUUUUAAGGGACUUUUGGCCUAGAUUUUGGAGUUUACGGCCCUUGAACACCCUCAUGGCCAUGAACUCCUUAGAUGGGGAAAAUAAUAUGUUUUAAGGUCCAAUACUUGUGUGUAAACACGUCUAGAAUUUAUCCAAACGCUUUAGGUGUGUUAAAGUGGCAUUUUAACACUUUACAUUUAGUUUACUCCCCAUGUUAUGGAGUUCACGGCCCAAGCAUAAGCCUUGUCCGUAAACUCUCAUUUGUCCCUCAAACUAUAUGUUUAAGGCCCCUAAACUAUUUUUAGUUGGUUCUAUGAUUUAUUCCAAGGCUUUUGGUAAAGGUAUAUGGCUUUCUAACAUGUUGGAAAUGAGUUUACACUCAUGUUUGAGGGGUUUACGGCCCAAGCAUGUGCCUUGGCUGUAAACUCAUUCAAAUCCCUCAAAAUCCAUGUCUAAAGUGUUCUAAGUCCAUUCCAUGAAGUCAUUUAGCCAUAUCUAAAGUCUAGUUGUGGUUUGGAUGGGUUUUGUUGCUCAAAAACCCCCCUUUAAAUGAGUUUAUGGCCUAGGAUAGUUCUAGGGCCGUAAACCCAUGAUAAUGGUCCUAAUCCAUGGUUUAAACUCGAAUUUGAAGGCUAGAGGGGUUGUAUAGCAAGUUAGGGAAGUUACCUCAAAGAUUUGAAGCCUUAAAUUGAUGAUUUGGACCCUUAAACUUGGAUUUAGGAGAGAGGUUAGAAAGAGAGUAGUGAGAGAGAGAAAAAGCUUCAAAUGAUAGCUUUAACAUGUUUAAAUAGCUCCUAAAACUUGGACACUGAGGAAUUCUACCCGAUACCGUCACUAAACGGGGCUUUUGGUCGCACCCGAUUAAGUUUCCGUAACUCGGCGGGAACGUUUCUAAAAUUUUUGAAAUAACUUAUUUGGGCUAAUUUCAUAAGUUCCUAAGGGGUUUGGACACUCAUUAUCAUCAAAUAAACAUAUAAGUUUAAUUAAUUUAACCCAAAAACGAAAUUGGAACGAAUUGAUAUUCGGCGAGUUUUACGGGUAGAACGGGGUUUUCGGCAAUGAACAACUUCGGGUUGUGACAUUAUCCCCCCGUUAGAGGGAAUUUUGUCCCGAAAGUCAAAGAAUAAGAUAUAGAUCAUGAAUUGGAAUGAGACACGAAUGGAUUUGUUGCCUCGGAUCUUCACGUUCUCAUGUGGGAUCAGGUCUCUGCUGGGCGUUCUAGCGAAUUCUCACUAUCGGGACGUGUCUUUGUUUCGUACAUUGACUCUCUCAAUCCAUAAUCUCAAUUGGUUAUCCCAUGGAGGUUCCGAACCUUGAUGACUUCAGUCUUCUCAAAGGAAUCACUAGGGUUUCGUUGGGUAGAUACUUCUAAGGUUUCGAGACGUGCAGUACCGGAUGGAUGUUACUAAGUUCUGAGGGUAGCUGAAGUUUGAAGGUUAUGAAAUCGAUUCUAUGAGGAUCACGAAGGGUCUAAUGUAUCAUGAGGGAAGUAUUUCACACUUCUCAAAGCAAAUCAUGCUUUUCUGGGAUAAAGCCAUCAACAGAACACACACUCCAACAGGAAAGCACAUCUUCAAGGAGCCGGGUAGCUAAGGGUUUGAUGGCUUUAGAAGAAAUUUAUGGGCAAGACUACGAUAUUAGUCGAUGGGACCCAAGAAUCGACAGGUUUCUAUGGGUAUUUCCGGUGCCGACUAAUUCCCUAUCACGUUAGAUGUUGGAAAAGUACACGGUUACGACUAAUUUGCUUGGCUACAUGAUCGAGGGAAAGAGAUUUGACCGAAAGGAUACCACUACUAAUCCGUAGUGAUCAUAUCCGUUCUUGGUCACCGUUUUGAACACGUCAUUCUCACUGAGGUUCAGUCACGAGGUAGAUCCGGAGAUUAGGCUGAUGCAGAACUACGCUAAACGUUCGAAAGGAAUUCUCGGGAAUUCUUCGGGAAUGACAUUUAGGGGAAAGAGCUACUGACUUCCCGUUUCUUAACGGUCACAGAAACGAGGGAUACAUGGCAAUUCCUAUCAGGAAAACUUUUGAGAUUAAUGAAAUGAUACGAAGGUUUGAUGCCAAAGAUCACGAGAGUCAGGUCGGGGAAAAGAUCUAGACGAGCGACCCUUUCGAAACCAAGGAUAACAACAUGAAUGGGACUCGGUCAUUUCAUGUCAAACAUAGCAUCAAAGUAUUUCGAGAAAAGUUUCCCCCCAUUUAAAUCGAAUGGAACAGAAUAAUCCUACGGACUGAGGAUACAAUCUAUAGGUACGAAGUUAGUGUUCUCUAUCUCACUGGUUAGCCGUCUCGAUUAUACUCGAUUUCGAUUACAAAUGAAGGAUUAAGUUUAGAAAUUUCUCAGAUGGAUAGAUAACAAGUUUCCCUUCUGGUACUAGAAUCGAAAAGAGUUGCAGGUAUAAGAAUUGUCAAAGAGGAGUAUGCCGGCGGCGACAGUGGGAUCAGCGGUUGUAGCUGCUUUGGGGCAAUUUCUUUUGAAGUGCCCUACUUCGCCACAACUGUAGCAGGAUGGACUGAUUCCCGUCCCGGAUGAUUGGUUCGUUGAUUUAGUUGGUUUUCUGUAGGUUCGAACAAGAUGGCCCUUCUUGCCACAGUUGUCACAGAUCCUUUCGCGACAUGGACUAGGAAUGCGGUGAUGGUAGCUGCACUUACCACACCAAGGAAGGGUACCAGUGUAUCCACUGGUAGGAGUUUGGGCCAUGGAACCGACAGUCGAAACAGCAAUAGGGGUAGUAGCAGCAUGGACUGCUACUAUUUGCUGUUUCUUAGAAGACCCUUGCGUACUCUGGGCCUUCCUCUUGUUCCAGAAUUUCUUUUUGCUUCCACCUCCACUUGUGACCUGUUCGGGAGUCCUAGCCUCCUCAUCAGAGUUGUCUUCGUGAUCGAUCAGGGUUGGCGCAAGACAUUUAGCACUAUCAUAGGUUUUUGGCUUCGCAGCCAAGACAUUCCCUUUGGUUGGCUGGGUCAACCCCCAGAUGAACCUCUUAAUCUUUUUACUCUCCGGGGUAACCAUUCCCGGACAGAGUUCGUGUUCUAGCUUCUGAAUUUCGCCCCGAGGGCAAUACUCUGCGAGUAGAAGCUCCUUCAUAGCUUCCCAACCCAUAGCAUUUGCUACAGGUAGAGUUAAGGAUUUGACUCGGCCGUUCCACCAAGUCAGGGCUUUGUCAAGGAAGGUGCAGGCGGCGAACUUUACUUUGUCAGACUCCGAACAGGCGCAUAUUUCAAAGAUUGAUUCGAUUUUCUUGAACCAUCGGGUGAGGGAAAUGACACCUCUAGUGCCAUCAAAGGAUGUGGGUUUCGCGUUCAUGAAGUCUUUAUAGGAACCCUCUUUUCGGUGUCCCUGACUGUUCUCUUGGUUUUGGGUUUGAGUACCACCGGAACCAUCCGAGUUCCUUUGAGACAUAGCAGCUGCCACCGCGGCAUUGACAGCUGCCUGGAACAUCACAGGGUCAAAUUCAGGAGGAGGUGGUGGCGGAGGGUUGUUGGUGUUCUUCGAGCUGGGUCUCUUUCUUGGAGGCAUCGUGAUCUAAAAAGAUCAGGAAAGAGAGGAUCAUAAGUCCUCUGAAUUGAAUCAAGAGAUAUGGAACAGGGGAUAUCUCAUCAAGACAGAUAUAACACCGUAUUAAGCGAUAAAGUAGGAAAGAGUUAUCAAGACAGAACAUUUUAUUGCUAGAGGAAUGAUCAAGGAACAACGCGUAUACGAGGACUUUCUACAAAGGAUUUACUCGAGAAAUACUCCCAUAGUAUUUCAUGAUUCACUGCAACGACGACUCGUUGUUUGGGGUAUUGGGUAAGUUUUAGGUAUGCUGCGUACCACAGUCACUCCCAAGCACAUGUUGGCCGUGUCUCGAAUGAAUAUAGUUGGCCAGGCUAUAUUGACCCUAGACACGACUACAUAACUGCCCAGGUUUAACCGCAGCGUACAACACCCAUUUACUUAUGUUCUGUUCUACUUGUAGUUACGGAUCUCGACGGCUCGGUAUACUUGUAUACUUUUGAAAAUACUUAUAUUUUGAAGGAUACUUUUAGUUCAGAGCACUUAGGCCCCUUAAUGUUUAUAGUUUUAUACCAUGUAAGGUUUGGUAUACUCCGUUCACUAUAAACAAGGGCUCUGAUACCAAUCGGUCACACCCCAAAAACCAAAGGCGGAAACAUUUCCGGGGUUGACUCCACGUUGAGUAUCAAAUCCAAUGCACAUAGUAAUCAAAGUAAACAACCAUUACAUUACAUAUAUUUGAAAGUUUACAUUUGUUUCAAAAGUAAAUUGUACAAGUGUUAUACAUAUAUCAUAUGAACAAAAGUAGAGACGAGUCUUCUGUGCACUCCGUCUUCACCAAAAGAUAGCACCGGGUACCUGUCUAACGUGGACCUGAGAAUACAAGCGGUUUGAAAAUCAGCAUAAAGCUGGUGAGUUCAUAAGAUGUUUGUUUUUCUGAAAAUGUACCAGUUUUCCUUAGUUUUUCCGAAAAGGUUUGUUAUCCAAUAAAAUCCCAUAUUUUCUUAUGUAAAACAGUUUAGUUAUUCUUCAUUACAGUUCAAUUACGCAUUAUACGUUACCCCAGGAAAAUCCCAUAUUUUCCUAAAUGGAAGACCAAUUGAAUAUCACAGAGUAUAGUUCAAUACACAAAACUAUAUAUUGAGAAUCAUGGGAUUACUAUCCCAAAUUAGAUAGAAAAUAUUUUAAUAUACGUGAACUGUAGAUGGAAAGUAGUUUGAAAACCUUGGGACUAACAUCCCGUACUACAUAUAGAUUUAAUACCAAGGGACUAUCAUCCCGGACAAGAUACAAGAUAGUUUGAUAUACAUGAAAAUAUAGACUGAAUACCAUGGGACUACCAUCCCGGUGUAGAUAUAAGAUAGUUUGAUAAAAUCAUGGUUUUACUAUCCCGAACUAGAUAUAGAUUCUAACCAUAGGAAUAACAUCCUGCAAUAGAUAUGAAUCCUAUAGACUAAAAACCAUGGGAUUUCCAUCCCGUACUAGAUAUAAGAUCUAAAGAUAGAAGAUUGAUAUAAAAUCAAAUCCAAAACCAAGUCGUGAAUAAAAUUAUUAAUACGUAUUGUGAGUCGGGUAACCAUGCUGAUACGACAACCAGACCUCCUUGACAUUUGUCAGACGUCGAACAAUAUCCAAAAUUUGCCACCCCAGUCGUGCCCGCCUAACUUUAGCUAGUAGUUAAGGUGUGGGAUUGUCAGUCCCGAAUAGAUCUAUUCACAAAUUCCUCACUCUCCCUCCAGGAGACUCUGGUUACACUUCCGGGGAGGAUUUGCUGAUCAUCCAUAAAGGGUAGUGACGAACUCACAAGCUAGUACUAAACCAUUCACAGGGUUCUCAUACGAUAUCAAACAUAUAAAAGAUUAUGAAACAUAAUACAUUGAAUACAGAU
This 6803-nucleotide long non-coding RNA is filed under the name Lactuca sativa (garden lettuce). RNAcentral's name for it is "long non-coding RNA (LSAT_LNC003043)". The record is from RNAcentral. Lineage: Eukaryota; Viridiplantae; Streptophyta; Magnoliopsida; Asterales; Asteraceae.